GACGAACGCUGGCGGCGUGCUUAACACAUGCAAGUCGAACGGGCCUGUCUUCUUUUUUGGGGGGUGGGUUGAGUGGCGAACGGGUGAGUAUCACGUGAGUAACCUGCCCUUCGGUCCUGGAUAACCGCUUGAAAGGGCGGCUAAUACGGGGUGGUCCGGUUGGUCCGCAUGGGCUGGUCGGGAUAGAUUCACUGUUUUUGGUGUUUCGGCGGGGGAUGGGCUCGCGGCCUAUCAGCUUGUUGGUGGGGUGAUGGCCUACCAAGGCGGUGACGGGUAGCCGGCCUGAGAGGGUGGGCGGCCGCACUGGGACUGAGAUACGGCCCAGACUCCUGCGGGAGGCAGCAGUGGGGGGUAUUGCACAAUGGGCGGAAGCCUGAUGCAGCGACGUCGCGUGAGGGAUGGAGGCCUUCGGGUUGUGAACCUCUGUUUCCGGUGGUGAAGGCCCUGUCCGUGUGGUGGGGUUGACGGUAGCCGGGGAUGAAGCGCCGGCUAACUACGUG
RNAcentral lists this ribosomal RNA (500 nucleotides) under uncultured bacterium. RNAcentral describes it as "partial 16S ribosomal RNA". It matches the Rfam family "Bacterial small subunit ribosomal RNA", at positions 28 to 507 of the family's 1533-position model. The record is from RNAcentral.